This 460-nucleotide ribosomal RNA is filed under the name uncultured bacterium. Its description in RNAcentral is "partial 16S ribosomal RNA". It matches the Rfam family "Bacterial small subunit ribosomal RNA", at positions 338 to 795 of the family's 1533-position model. The record is from RNAcentral.
CCUACGGGUGGCAGCAGUGAGGAAUAUUGGUCAAUGGCCGGAAGGCUGAACCAGCCAUGCCGCGUGAAGGUCAGUGCCCUAUGGGGGUUAAACUUCUUUUGUGCGGGAGCAAUAAUGGUCACGUGUGGCCAGACUAGAGUACCGUACGAAUAAGCAUCGGCUAACUCCGGGCCAGAAGCCGCGGUAAUACAGGGGAUGAAAGCGUUAUCCGGUAUUAUUUGGGUUAAAGGGUGCUUAGGCUGUGAGGUAAGUCACCGGUGAAAUGCCCCCGCUCAACGGGGUGAAGUGCCAUUGAUACUGCCUUGUUGGUAUGCGGAUGCCGUGGGAGGAAUGUGUGGUGUAGCGGUGAAAUGCAUAGAUAUCACACAGAACACCGAUUGCGAAGGCAUCUCACGAAUCCGCGAUUGACGCUGAUGCACGAAAGCGUGGGUAUCAAACAGGAUUAGAUACCCUUGUAGUC